GUUUCUAUUAACUGAUUUUUCUCCUGGUCGUGGGCCACAUGUGCUGCUUCUCUACAUGUCUAGCAAUUUUAACUGGAUGUUUGACAUCAUCAAUAUUGUUCUAUGUCUGGAUUCCUGCCUUCCUUUCAAGAGCACUGGGCUUUGUUCUCGAAGGCAAUUUAUUUGAGCACUAGUUCAACCCUUAUAAGUGUUUUUUAGGGUAUUUUUAAACUUUGUCAGAGUGGAUUUAGAUUAACUUUUCUCCAAGGGUCGUUCGGCCUUACUUUUAAGGUAUGGCCUUUCUAGAGCCUCUAUAGGCAUUCUUUCUUUGUUUUGUUUUGGUUUUUUGUGAGGAAGAUUGGCCCUGAGCUAAUAUGUGUACCAAUCUUUCCUCCUUUUUGUAUGUGGGAUGCCAGCACAGCAUGGCUUGAUGAGCAGUGUGUAGGUCCCCAUCUGGGAUCCGAACCCAUGAACCCAGGCUGCUGAAGUGAAGCACACCAAACUUAACCACUACAACACCAGGCUGGCCCCCGUUCCUUGUUUUAUUACGCUUCACUUUACUGUGCUUCACAGAUACUGCAUUUUUUACAAGACCCUCCACCAGCAGAAAAAAAGGUUAUGACUUGCUGAAGCCUGGGAUGAUGGAGUUCAAAGCUGAGAGCAAGACCUUGACCAUGGCAACUUUAUCCAGGCAGUGCCACCAUGUGAUGCCACCUGAGGUGCCCGAGUGACAACCCCUCACCAUGGCCUCCCCCAGUAGCAACAAGUAUUAUUAAGGGUCUUGUAGGUGUGAUUUUCGCUCUGAAAAUGUGCCAGUUAUUAUCAUCUCUGGGCUUCACUUUUCUCGGAUGUAGAAUAAUGGGUUGGCCUCGAUGUUCUCUGAGAACGUUCAAUCUCUGUGAGACUCUAUUGAAAAUAUCAUUGACUCUCUUUUCUCUCUCUUUUCUUUUUCUUGUUUUCUUUUAAACAUCGAAAAAGGGCAGUGUCCUGUAAAACUUAAAUCUUGUGGCUUGUUCUUGAGUUUGACACACUAAACAAAUGAACUAUUUUCAACUGAUUAAUCAUGCCCCUCAGUUCUCAUGGGAAUAUGAGUUGGUUAUGCAUGAGAAAGUCUGCUGAUUUUGACGUGAGGAUGUCUUUCAGACAGGUAAGUCACCUGUGAUGAAGUGAUCCAUUGAAGAAAGCCUAUUUUCUUGCUGCAUAAAUACAGGCCUGAACUACGUGUGAGCUGUCAUACACAUACCCCCUGGAUGCAAUUCCCGAGAAGUGACAGGCCGCCAUCAUUCAUGCUAAUGUCUAUUUGUGCAACAAUGUUGUUUGAAAUAAUCGACCAAUUCAUCAAAGGGAACAGCCGACUUUGGUGGGGGAGGGGGGCAGAGGGUGCUUUUUCAGUCCUAAUGAAAGAAACGACAUUCCUGUUUACCAUUUGUCAGCUUUAAAUAGUCAAUAAAUGUUUGCAAUGAUUUCCAAAUUUUGAGAUGUGAUUCGCUUGUAAGGAUAUGAAAUUUUUAAGAUUUAUAGAGAGGGUGUUUCUUCCGUAAACAUUCAGCUUUGAUAAUUAUCAGGAGAACUAUUCAUUUUGUCUCAGAAGUUAAAUGCAUGAUAAAUGGAAUGCCUCUUAUUGGUUGCAAUUUUCUAAAUGUAAAGAAUGCCUAUUUCUUUGAUAAUCAACACAAAUACGUUAAUAAUAAUUAUAAAGCUUUUCAGUGCUAUAGGUUGAUGAUAAGCCUGAAAGUAUAGAAUAGUAUAAUCUCUAUAUUAAAUUGUUUUCAUUUUUGAAGCAGAUGCAACAAAAAUCAGAAUUUUCUUAGAAUUUCCAGGGACCCUACCCAGAUAUUCCUGACUGAUAACAGCUAAUAGGGUCAACUACGCCCUCCUACCGUGGGCUCCAUGUCUC
Molecule: long non-coding RNA, 1876 nt
Filed under: Equus caballus (horse)
Lineage: Eukaryota; Metazoa; Chordata; Mammalia; Perissodactyla; Equidae
Description: lncRNA (ENSECAG00000058400.1)
Source: RNAcentral